Molecule: ribosomal RNA, 450 nt
Filed under: uncultured Anaerolineaceae bacterium
Lineage: Bacteria; Bacillati; Chloroflexota; Anaerolineae; Anaerolineales; Anaerolineaceae
Description: bacterial SSU rRNA
Rfam family: Bacterial small subunit ribosomal RNA
Source: RNAcentral
GGGACCCGCACAAGCAGCGGAGCGUGUGGUUUAAUUCGAUGCUACACGAAGAACCUUACCAGGGUUUGACAUGCAAGUGGUAGGAAACUGAAAGGGACCGACCUUCGGGAGCUUGCACAGGUGCUGCAUGGCUGUCGUCAGCUCGUGUCGUGAGAUGUUCGGUUAAGUCCGCUAACGAGCGCAACCCUCACUGUGUGUUAUACGUGUCACACGGGACUGCCGGUUUUAAGCCGGAGGAAGGUGGGGAUGACGUCAAGUCAGCAUGGCCUUUAUAUCCUGGGCUACACACACGCUACAAUGGUCGGUACAAUAGGUUGCCAAGCCGCGAGGCGGAGCCAAUCCAUAAAGCCGGCCUCAGUUCAGAUUGUAGGCUGCAACUCGCCUGCAUGAAGAUGGAGUUGCUAGUAACCGCAGGUCAGCAAUACUGCGGUGAAUACGUUCCCGGGCCUU